This 581-nucleotide small RNA is filed under the name Pan troglodytes (chimpanzee). Its description in RNAcentral is "retained intron". Lineage: Eukaryota; Metazoa; Chordata; Mammalia; Primates; Hominidae. The record is from RNAcentral.
CUAUAGUUGGCGUACCCUGAGGCCUGCCAGUUCCUGCCUUAAUGCAUAUGUAGUCGUAAUUGAGUUCUGACACGGCCUUGGAUGUUUCUGUCCUAAAUAGCUGACAUUGCAUCUUCAAGACUGUUGUGAAGAAUUUGGAAAUUGCAAGGAGCAUGGGAAGGAGAUGAUUUGGGCAUUCCAGUUGGCUUUUGAGUGGAUACUUGCAGUGAGAGCAUUGACACUGGAAACACUAGUUCCCAUUUUAAUUACUUAAAACACCACGAUGAAAAGAAAUACCUGUGAUUUGCUUUCUCGGAGCAAAAGUGCCUCUGAGGAAACACUACAUUCCAGUAAUGAAGAGGAAGACCCUUUCCGUGGAAUGGAACCCUAUCUUGUCCGGAGACUUUCAUGUCGCAAUAUUCAGCUUCCCCCUCUCGCCUUCAGACAGUUGGAACAAGCUGACUUGAAAAGUGAAUCAGAGAACAUUCAACGACCAACCAGCCUCCCCCUGAAGAUUCUGCCGCUGAUUGCUAUCACUUCUGCAGAAUCCAGUGGGUGAGUGCCCUCAGAUGUCAUUUCCCCAUUUUAUAUUUUAGAUGGUG